RNAcentral lists this long non-coding RNA (325 nucleotides) under Setaria viridis. Its description in RNAcentral is "long non-coding RNA (SVIR_LNC010198)". The record is from RNAcentral. Lineage: Eukaryota; Viridiplantae; Streptophyta; Magnoliopsida; Poales; Poaceae.
UCUUGCAAGCUGCACCCCACGGAAUCUCGUAUAAAUUUAACAAGAUUUUUUUUGAAAACUAAUUUAACAAGAAUUAGAGCACCAGGUUCGACUUUACAAGGAGUAUCAGUUGUUUACAAAAAUCUGACUAGAUGUUCAUUCUGUGUAUUGUUUCCGUCAUAAAAAGGAUCCAAAUAUAGCCCCCAACCCCCGAGCGCAAGGACCGGCGGAGCCGUAGAAGCACGCCGACCUGAAAUAGGCGUCCAGUCCCCGAGCACGAGGACUAGCGGAGCCGCGAAGGCAUGUCGACCUAAAGUAGGCACCCAGCCCCCGAGCACGAGGAUUG